GUUCGGAUUGCAGGCUGCAACCCGCCUGUAUGAAGUUGGAAUCGCUAGUAAUCGCGGAUCAGCAUGCCGCGGUGAAUACGUUCCCGGGCCUUGUACACACCGCCCGUCACACCAUGAGAGUCGGGAACACCCGAAGUCCGUAGUCUAACUUUCACGAGAGGACGCGGCCGAAGGUGGGUUCGAUAAUUGGGGUGAAGUCGUAACAAGGUAUC
This 212-nucleotide ribosomal RNA is filed under the name uncultured bacterium. RNAcentral describes it as "partial 16S ribosomal RNA". It matches the Rfam family "Bacterial small subunit ribosomal RNA", at positions 1291 to 1500 of the family's 1533-position model. The record is from RNAcentral.